This 565-nucleotide ribosomal RNA is filed under the name Streptomyces sp. 322G08. RNAcentral's name for it is "bacterial SSU rRNA". It matches the Rfam family "Bacterial small subunit ribosomal RNA", at positions 93 to 671 of the family's 1533-position model. Lineage: Bacteria; Bacillati; Actinomycetota; Actinomycetes; Kitasatosporales; Streptomycetaceae. The record is from RNAcentral.
UAGUGGCGAACGGGUGAGUAACACGUGGGCAAUCUGCCCUUCACUCUGGGACAAGCCCUGGAAACGGGGUCUAAUACCGGAUAAUACCUGCCUGGGCAUCUGGGUGGGUUGAAAGCUCCGGCGGUGAAGGAUGAGCCCGCGGCCCUAUCAGCUUGUUGGUGAGGUAGUGGCUCACCAAGGCGACGACGGGUAGCCGGCCUGAGAGGGCGACCGGCCACACUGGGACUGAGACACGGCCCAGACUCCUACGGGAGGCAGCAGUGGGGAAUAUUGCACAAUGGGCGAAAGCCUGAUGCAGCGACGCCGCGUGAGGGAUGACGGCCUUCGGGUUGUAAACCUCUUUCAGCAGGGAAGAAGCGAGAGUGACGGUACCUGCAGAAGAAGCGCCGGCUAACUACGUGCCAGCAGCCGCGGUAAUACGUAGGGCGCAAGCGUUGUCCGGAAUUAUUGGGCGUAAAGAGCUCGUAGGCGGCUUGUCACGUCGGGUGUGAAAGCCCGGGGCUUAACCCCGGGUCUGCAUUCGAUACGGGCUAGCUAGAGUGNGGNAGGGGAGAUCGGAAUUNCU